Molecule: ribosomal RNA, 274 nt
Filed under: uncultured bacterium
Lineage: Bacteria
Description: partial 16S ribosomal RNA
Rfam family: Bacterial small subunit ribosomal RNA
Source: RNAcentral
AUACGGAGGGUGCAAGCGUUAAUCGGAAUUACUGGGCGUAAAGGGUUCGUAGGCGGUUAUUUAAGUCAGAUUUGAAAGCCCCGGGCUCAACCUGGGAAUUGCAUCUGAUACUGGGUAACUAGAGUUUAAGAGAGGAGUGUGGAAUUUCCGGUGUAGCGGUGAAAUGCAUAGAGAUCGGAAGGAACAUCAGUGGCGAAGGCGGCACUCUGGCUUAAAACUGACGCUGAGGAACGACAGCGUGGGUAGCAAACAGGAUUAGAAACCCUAGUAGUCC